Molecule: non-coding RNA, 45 nt
Organism: Schistosoma mansoni
Lineage: Eukaryota; Metazoa; Platyhelminthes; Trematoda; Strigeidida; Schistosomatidae
Source: Rfam
AUCUAACUGACGAGUCCAAUAUAGGACGGAAUUCGCGUCCCGGAU